CCGUAAGCGGCGGACUGGUGAGUACGCGUGGGUGAUCUACCUUAAACGAUGGGGAUACGCCGUUAGAAAUAACGGAUAAUACCGAAUACGAUCGCGAGUGUUCUGACCUUGUGAUGAAAGGCGCUUCGGCGCCGCCUUGAGAUGAGCCCGCGUCCCAUUAGCUUGUUGGCGGUGUAACGGACCACCAAGGCGAAGAUGGGUAGCCGGCCUGAGAGGGUGAACGGCCACAUUGGGACUGAGAUACGGCCAGACUCCUACGGGAGGCAAGCAGCUAAGAAUAUUCCGCAAUGGACGAAAGUCUGACGUGAGCGACUGCCGCGUGUAUGACGAAGGCCAGAAAGGUUGUAAAAGUACUUUUGCAGACAGAACGAAUAAGACAGCAGUAGGUAAUGAUUGCCGUGAGUGACAGUAUAGUCUGACGAAUAAGACCCCGGCAUAAUUA
This 442-nucleotide ribosomal RNA is filed under the name uncultured bacterium. RNAcentral describes it as "bacterial SSU rRNA". It matches the Rfam family "Bacterial small subunit ribosomal RNA", at positions 89 to 504 of the family's 1533-position model. The record is from RNAcentral.